Oncorhynchus nerka (sockeye salmon) is the source of this 175-nucleotide long non-coding RNA. RefSeq lists it as uncharacterized. NCBI's taxonomy places the organism in Eukaryota, Metazoa, Chordata, Actinopteri, Salmoniformes, Salmonidae. The record is from RefSeq and is a predicted model, not a curated record. The transcript has 3 exons.
CCAUGGGUUACACAGCCUGGGCUGCAGGUUCUUCUCUCAGUUACCAGGUUAACCAAACACCUGCAGCCCUGUACAAGAACCAGGGAAGGAUACCUGUUUGGGAAAGAUGGAUAUCCUGAGGCUGGAUUUGAUAUAGAAGGAGAUGCUAAUGCAGGUGGUACCAGCACCUUAACCA